This is a long non-coding RNA of Cucumis melo (muskmelon), 865 nucleotides long. RefSeq lists it as uncharacterized. The record is from RefSeq and is a predicted model, not a curated record. The transcript has 2 exons. Lineage: Eukaryota; Viridiplantae; Streptophyta; Magnoliopsida; Cucurbitales; Cucurbitaceae.
CCAUCUCCACGUCGAAGCCGCGUCGCCAGCCGAACGCGUCUGCAAAUCGGAGCCGCGAACGCGCCUACACCCGAGCCGCACCGAAGCCGCGAACGCGCCUGCCUCCAGCCGACGGACGAAACCGAACCCGGAACCACCACCCGCGCGUCCGAACCCGGAACCGCCCGCGCGCCCGAAACCGAAACCCGCGUCCGCGCCACACGUGCCCAGCUCUCCCCGCGUGCAGCCGCGCCGCGCCGUGCGUUCCGCGUAGCCGAGCCGCGCCCCCUCCCGGUAGCAAGCCGAGCCGCACGCGAAGUCCCUGUACCGAGCCGAGCCGCGCCUACGCCAAGCCGAGCCGGUCCUGUCUUCUUCCAGUCGAGCCGCCAAGCCUGUUUUGGCUCCUUCCACCUAAAUUUUUGGUAAUUUCCAAAUUCCCUAGCCUGCCCAGUAAUUAAAUGAGUUAAUUUGGAAAUUUAAUUAAUUUAAUUACUUUCCUCAAGAAGCAAAUUGGACCAAAUAGCUGCUGCAGCUUAGGACUUCCUCAGUAGGAACUCAUCUAGCAACAUCUCGAGGUAGAGGACGAGGUAAGGGCAAGGGCAAACUGGCGAGCGACUCGAAGUGAGACCGUGAAGGGCCAUAGGGACUACCGCUUCCGCUUAUCUUUAUUUCAGAUUUUCGCACUUGAGUUCGAGUACUUUCAUUAUUUACCAUCUUUAUGUAGAUAGGGCCCGCUUAGGGAUUUUAAACUUAACUCGUAUUUCUACAUGUUACUUUAACUAUCUUUCAUAAAUAAAUUUGCUAGAUUUCUUUGCAUUUAUUUACACCAGAUUUUAUGACUUAAACACUGAUCCUAGAUUUAGUAACCACUUCGAUUCAGCAUAAA